Molecule: long non-coding RNA, 719 nt
Organism: Lotus japonicus
Lineage: Eukaryota; Viridiplantae; Streptophyta; Magnoliopsida; Fabales; Fabaceae
Exons: 3
Source: RefSeq, a predicted model, not a curated record
UCUCUCCUCUCUCUUUCUUUCAAAUUGCUUUUAUCUUUUUUCUCCCUUCACCCAUCUAUUUCUUCUCUUCUUUGGAAAAAAGUUUGUGCUAGCUACUCCCCCCCCCCCCACUAUAUAGACCCUAUCAUCAUGGUUCAUUCUCUUCAACCAGAUCUUUUCAUAUUGUACGUUCUUUACUUGAACCAUGAAUACAUGACUACAAUAAGAGAGAAAAAGAGAUGAGAGGUUGGCUGUUUUAAUUUGAAAGGAAAGAAAUGAGUAUAUAUGCAGGUGUGACAAAGAGCGUGGAGGAAGGGGAUGCAUGAAGGGGUUAAUUGGUUGGUUAAGUUGGGAAGUGCGAUGAGACAUUUCAUGCAUGUUGACAGAAGAGAGAGAGCACAACCCAGGAAUGGUGAAAGAGAGUCUUUGCUUUUGUUGGGAGUGUGCUCUCCCUUCUUCUGUCAUCAUCACAUGAAUCAACUUGCCUUCCAUGCUAUGCAACACUAGCUACAUAUCUCAUUCUCAUGUACUAAUCAAGGCACAGCCAAUAUCAAGACUCUAAUUAAGGCUAGGUGUAUCACAUGAUCGGGUGGUGCAUGUAUCUCGAUCACAACACACACUGUUUAUUAUUUGUAAACAUAUAAUUAAUAACAAUGUAAAAUAAAGUUUGUAACUUAAUAAAAUGACAACAAGAUAAUUGUCUGAAAACUUUCAGCCAAAUAGCUGAGAAUUUACUAUUC